GGGAAAUAACUCCCAUAAGAUGUCUUCCGAUCACUCCAGUCAAAAUUAACCAAAUCAUUCUUAAGAGUAGACAAACAAUUUGGUAAACACAGUUUGUUAAGAUCUUUUACGGUUUUAGAGAUAAAGCAAUAACAAGAAAAAGGGGACGCGGGGGGGAGAUAACUCCUAUAAGAAUAAGUGUUCGGUCACACAGGGUGAGUUUUGAAACCCCCAUUACUGUUCAACAUCA
Molecule: long non-coding RNA, 229 nt
Filed under: Mytilus galloprovincialis (Mediterranean mussel)
Lineage: Eukaryota; Metazoa; Mollusca; Bivalvia; Mytilida; Mytilidae
Source: RNAcentral